RNAcentral lists this long non-coding RNA (660 nucleotides) under Gallus gallus (chicken). Lineage: Eukaryota; Metazoa; Chordata; Aves; Galliformes; Phasianidae. The record is from RNAcentral.
GGCUGCUCUCUCUGGAGGUCAAGGAGGCAUCUCUCAGCUCUUGGAUUGUGUUCUGCAAGCUCUGAUUAUCCUUCUCUAGCUUCAGGAUGCGACUUGAAGCACAUUCAUUCAGCUCAAACACAAAGGACUUCCUAGUAUCAGCAAGAUCGGUGCUUUUAGACAGUUGUUCCAGUUCCCAGCCUAAGUGCGCAGAUUCGUUCAUGCUCUGUUUCUGUGCAAUCUCCAAGACCAUAUUCUCCUCCAGAAGCUCUUCAAUUCUCUUUUUGUCUGUGUCUCGAUCCAGCUCCACAUCAUGAAGUUUGGAUUUCAACUGCAAAUUCUCCUUCUCUAUCUCAUGCAACUUAUCAACACGAGCUCUCGCCAUCGUUAGCUGUUCUUCUAACAUUGCCUUUGUUUCAAUUAAUAUGAUGUUAUCUUCUCUUAACUCCUCCAUGCGAGCUUUGUAAAAAUCCACAUCAUGAAGUUUCUCUUUGCACCGAACAAGUUCCAUCUCAAGUCUCUCCACACGGUUUGCCUUUUCUCUCAGGGAGUCCAGCUCAUCUCUGUAUGCUCGGGCAGAACGAGCAUCUGAGGCCAGGUGGAUAUUCUCUUGUUUUAUUUUUUGCAGCUCUAGGGUGAGCUGCUCAACUUCAUGUUUAGAAUCCACAAGCUGCUCAGAUU